AAAUUUAGGUUAACAGUAAACCAAGAACCUUCAAAGUUCUAAACAUGAGCCAACCUCAU
Molecule: transfer RNA, 59 nt
Filed under: Cyrtopodion scabrum
Lineage: Eukaryota; Metazoa; Chordata; Lepidosauria; Squamata; Gekkonidae
Description: tRNA-Trp
Source: RNAcentral